RNAcentral lists this long non-coding RNA (934 nucleotides) under Canis lupus familiaris (dog). RNAcentral describes it as "lncRNA (ENSCAFG00845024389.1)". The record is from RNAcentral. Lineage: Eukaryota; Metazoa; Chordata; Mammalia; Carnivora; Canidae.
GCCUUUUUUCCUGCCAUCGUGAUCCUCUUACCCAUAACCUAAGUACUAUAUUUUUUUCCGUUAUCCCCUUUGAGAGUUUGGGGCCCGUCUCUGGGAGACAUUACCGAGAGUAAUACUUUUUAAAAUACUGGGUAAAUUGAGGAAGGAGAAGCCCACAGAGAUGCAGAAGAUGAUGAAGUUUGCAUCAUACAUUUGUACCAGCCCUAAGCAAGAUUUAGGACUCCUUUUCUAGCUGAUGAAGUCCAUUGUUGCAAGAGACCCUACAACAGCUUCUAAGACAAGCUUACUUCACUGUUUCUUUGCUGCCUUCGCUUGACCCAGUCAGGCUAGUGGUAGUAACGACGGUGGGUAUUUACCACCCACUUGCUGGAUACACUACGCACUUAGGGAUCUCGUAUGAUCUCAUUUAAGCUUAACAACAAAUUUAAGAUUGUAGGUACUAUUAUCACUGUUCUGUGCUGCCACGAGAAAUAGGCCCUAAAGCGUCAUUAAGGUCAACAAAAGUAUUUUGGGGAAAAGAGGACAAAACACUCCCUGGCGCCCCUGUAAGGAAAGAGCUCAACGCGGGCCGCAGCCGCAAGGAUUUCUGUACCGCGGUCUGCAGGGUGGGGGCGCGGCGGGCUUCCCCGAGGCCCCGCCCCCGCCCCCGCCCCCACAAGCCCUUGCAGCCGCGGCGGCCCCACAGGACAGAAGGACUGGAGCGGGCCGCAGAGAUUUAUGGGAGGUGGUCUGCUGGGUGGGGUCGCCGAGGCCCCGCCUCCUUCCCCUGGGAGCCGCAGAGGCCCCGCCCCGCCGAGGCCCCCCCCCGCCGAGGCCCCGCCCCCGGCCCCCACAAGCCCUUGCAGCCGCCGCAGUGACUGCGCAGAAUGGCUGGAGCGGGCGGCUGCGACGGCGAAGUCCCGGCGCCGGGGAUGGAGAUCAUAGAAAUGAGUGA